GGCUACGUAGUCUUGCUGGACGCGCUUCGGCGCACCCAGAAACCCUUUGUGAACUUAUACCUAUUUGUUGCCUCGGCGCAGGCCGGCCUCUUCACUGAGGCCCCCUGGAAACAGGGAGCAGCCCGCCGGCGGCCAACUAAACUCUUGUUUCUAUAGUGAAUCUCUGAGUGAAAACAUAAAUGAAUCAAAACUUUCAACAACGGAUCUCUUGGUUCUGGCAUCGAUGAAGAACGCAGCGAAAUGCGAUAAGUAAUGUGAAUUGCAGAAUUCAGUGAAUCAUCGAAUCUUUGAACGCACAUUGCGCCCUCUGGUAUUCCGGAGGGCAUGCCUGUUCGAGCGUCAUUUCAACCCUCAAGCCUGGCUUGGUGAUGGGGCACUGCCUUCUAGCGAGGGCAGGCCCUGAAAUCUAGUGGCGAGCUCGCUAGGACCCCGAGCGUAGUAGUUAUAUCUCGUUCUGGAAGGCCCUGGCGGUGCCCUGCCGUUAAACCCCCAACUUCUGAAAAUUUGACCUCGGAUCAGGUAGGAAUACCCGCUGAACUUAAGCAUAUCAAUAAGCGGAGG
This 561-nucleotide ribosomal RNA is filed under the name Phomopsis asparagi. Its description in RNAcentral is "eukaryotic LSU rRNA". The stretch from base 189 to 342 matches the Rfam family "5.8S ribosomal RNA". Lineage: Eukaryota; Fungi; Ascomycota; Sordariomycetes; Diaporthales; Diaporthaceae. The record is from RNAcentral.